GAGGAUGGAAACUGGAGUCCAUGUUGGCCUUACAAGUCUUCUCUGAAUAUUCCAGAAACUAAUAGUUAAGAUUCUUUCAAAAAGGGGUGAGAGGAGAGGAAAGGACAGAGCCGGCAUAGAAAACUUGUUAAUUAGUCUGUAAAAGAGCAAGCAAAAGACUUCACCAAAGUUACCACUUCAGGACAAGAAAUAUUUUUCUUAUAUAGGAGAGAUUGAUAAAUCAUGGUAAACAUUCUACGUUAUCAUUCCGUCUCAAGGAGGAGUAAAGCAGAGACAUUCAAAGAUGAACAGCAAUUCUGAAUGGAAAGAGGCCAGCUGUAAAACGUCAUAGAAGACCUGCAGUAGAGAUACAAUCCUGAGAAGAACAUUUAGCAAGAAUGGGGUUUCAGAUUUCUGGUAUUUCCAUAUGGGUGGAGAUUGAAGAAAAAAAAGAAAAGAGCAAAAGUUUUCUCAUAAUGUUUUGCAACUUCUGCUUCCGGGCCCAGUCAGAGCCCAAAAGCAGCAAGAGAAGUAAAAUGAAAACAUUGAACAUUUUUUUUGUUCUGUUUUCUUUUAAAUAAUAAUUGAUUUUUCACUCACAAAACUGAGUAUACUUAAUUCAGGAAUUCUAACUCAAAUUAAAGCAGGAAAUAUGUCAGCUAAUUAAAAAAAACAGCAACUUGAACAAUACUUGUCUCUCAGUAAAUAGUAAAGACCAUCACAAAAUAAAAGCAAACAGGUACUGAGGACCUGCAGGCACUGGCAAAUAAGCAGAGACCCAGUGAUAGCCUACAUGAGCUCACCAGUUGCCGCAAGAGAGCCCGGUAAAGAGAACUCCAAGAGAAUUAUUCAAAGGAUCAUCACAGCAGAAGAAUGCCUAU
This is a long non-coding RNA of Gorilla gorilla gorilla (western lowland gorilla), 860 nucleotides long. RefSeq lists it as uncharacterized. The transcript has 5 exons. The record is from RefSeq and is a predicted model, not a curated record. NCBI's taxonomy places the organism in Eukaryota, Metazoa, Chordata, Mammalia, Primates, Hominidae.